UACGUAGGCAGCGAGCGUUGUUCGGAGUUACUGGGCGUAAAGAGUGCGUAGGCGGUUUUCUAAGUUUGGUGUGAAAUCUCCCGGCUCAACUGGGAGGGUGCGCCGAAGACUGGAAGGCUUGAGUAUGGGAGAGGUAAGCGGAAUUCCUGGUGUAGCGGUGAAAUGCGUAGAUAUCAGGAGGAACACCUGCGGUGUAGACGGCUUACUGGACCAUAACUGACACUCAGGGACGAAAGCUAGGGGAGCGAAUGGG
This 253-nucleotide ribosomal RNA is filed under the name uncultured bacterium. RNAcentral's name for it is "partial 16S ribosomal RNA". It matches the Rfam family "Bacterial small subunit ribosomal RNA", at positions 524 to 776 of the family's 1533-position model. The record is from RNAcentral.